CCUACGGGAGGCAGCAGUGGGGGAUAUUGCACAAUGGGGGGAACCCUGAUGCAGCGACGCCGCGUGGGUGAAGAAGCGCCUCGGCGCGUAAAGCCCUGUCAGCAGGGAAGAAAAUGACGGUACCUGAAGAAGAAGCCCCGGCUAACUACGUGCCAGCAGCCGCGGUAAUACGUAGGGGGCAAGCGUUAUCCGGAUUUACUGGGUGGAAAGGGGGCGCAGACGGCGAUGCAAGCCAGGAGUGAAAGCCCGGGGCCCACCCCCUGGACUGCUCUUGGAACUGCGUGGCUGGAGUGCAGGAGGGGCAGGCGGAAGUCCUGGUGUAGCGGUGAAAUGCGUAGAUAUCAGGAGGAACACCGGUGGCGAAGGCGGCCUGCUGGACUGCAACUGACGUUGAGGCCCGAAAGCGUGGGGAGCAAACAGGAUUAGAUACCCGAGUAGUC
Molecule: ribosomal RNA, 440 nt
Filed under: uncultured bacterium
Lineage: Bacteria
Description: partial 16S ribosomal RNA
Rfam family: Bacterial small subunit ribosomal RNA
Source: RNAcentral